UUCCAGACUCCUACGGGAGGCAGCAGUGGGGGAUAUUGCACAAUGGAGGAAACUCUGAUGCAGCGACGCCGCGUGAGGGAAGACGGUCUUCGGAUUGUAAACCUCUGUCUUUGGGGAAGAAAAUGACGGUACCCAAAGAGGAAGCUCCGGCUAACUACGUGCCAGCAGCCGCGGUAAUACGUAGGGAGCGAGCGUUGUCCGGAAUUAUUGGGUGUAAAGGGUGCGUAGACGGGAAAUUAAGUUAGUUGUGAAAUCCCUCGGCUCAACUGAGGAACUGCAACUAAAACUGAUUUUCUUGAGUGCAGGAGAGGUAAGUGGAAUUCCUAGUGUAGCGGUGAAAUGCGUAGAUAUUAGGAGGAACACCAGUGGCGAAGGCGACUUUCUGGACAGUAACUGACGUUGAGGCACGAAAGUGUGGGGAGCAAACAGGAUUAGAUACCCCCGUACCA
Molecule: ribosomal RNA, 449 nt
Filed under: uncultured bacterium
Lineage: Bacteria
Description: bacterial SSU rRNA
Rfam family: Bacterial small subunit ribosomal RNA
Source: RNAcentral